RNA transcript from Contarinia nasturtii (swede midge), 1926 nucleotides. It is a transcript of the gene named tropomyosin-1, with no coding region annotated. Lineage: Eukaryota; Metazoa; Arthropoda; Insecta; Diptera; Cecidomyiidae. The record is from RefSeq and is a predicted model, not a curated record. The transcript is spliced from 6 exons.
AAGUAAAAGGGGAAAUCGAUGCGAUAUGAGUUGUGAAAACUCGAAAAGGUGGGGCUCUUCAGAUCAACGAUCGUCAGUGCUUUCGCGUUUUUACUGUCGUGUGGACUGUUUCGAGCGCUCAGAUAGUUCGAAUUUUGUAGCAAAUUUCUGUUAACUGUUUUCCUGUGUGUAAGCAAAUAAAAAAAACUACAUCAACAUGGACGCCAUCAAGAAGAAGAUGCAAGCUAUGAAGCUUGAAAAAGAUAAUGCUCAGGACAAGGCUGAUACCUGUGAGGGACAGGCUAAAGAUGCCAACCUUCGUGCCGAUAAAGUCCUUGAAGAAGUUCGCGAUUGCGAAAAGAAAUUGGUUCAAGUUGAAAUUGAUUUGACCAAUUCAAAGAACCAAUUGGAAUUGGCCAACCAAGAAUUGGAAGAAAAAGAAAAGACCCUCACCGCUACCGAAUCUGAAGUUGCCACUUUGAACCGUAAAGUUCAACAAAUUGAAGAAGAUUUGGAAAAAUCCGAAGAACGCUCAGGCAGCGCACAACAAAAAUUGUUGGAAGCCACCCAAUCGGCUGAUGAAAACAACCGUAUGUGCAAAGUACUUGAAAACCGUUCACAACAAGACGAAGAACGUAUGGAUCAAUUGACCAACCAAUUGAAAGAAGCUCGUCUCCUUGCUGAAGAUGCUGACGGCAAAUCCGAUGAAGUCUCACGUAAAUUGGCCUUCGUUGAAGAUGAAUUAGAAGUCGCUGAAGACCGUGUCAAAUCAGGAGAAGCCAAGAUCAUGGAACUCGAAGAAGAAUUGAAGGUCGUCGGAAACUCGCUCAAAUCAUUGGAAGUUUCGGAAGAAAAAGCCAAUCAACGAGUGGAAGAAUUCAAACGUGAAAUGAAAACUCUUACUGUGCGCCUCAAGGAAGCCGAGAACCGCGCUGAAAGCGCUGAAAAGCAAGUCAAGAGACUUCAAAAAGAAGUCGACAGACUGGAAGAUCGUCUGUUCCACGAAAAAGAAAAAUACAAAGCAAUUUGCGACGAUUUGGAUUCAACAUUUGCAGAGCUUACUGGAUAUUAAAUUGUCCAGAGCUUUAUAUGUUAUUUUUUAUGAAAUUUCCCAUUACCUAUCCGUUGAUUGAUCCAAAUACCAAUUUUCCUUGUAAAAUUUCCAUCAUUUUUAAUUCGAAUUUAUACUAUGUACUGUGUUUUUCAUACAUCCAGUCUCCAAUAUGAACAUAUAGUUUGCAUAUGCUUAUUUUUCCCAUACUAGAUUUCUCAUCGUGAACAGACAUUUUUGUAUUAUGACCUGAAAUAUUUUUUUCUUUCAAUAUUAACAUCUUAAUUUACUACUAACAUAUUACCAAUUCGAAUUAAACGAUGUAUUAUAGUCGCAAUAAGUGAUGAAUUGAAAAAAACCAAAUGUAAAAAGAGAAACCAACGCAAAAGAUAUGCAACACAACGCUGCUAAAAACAAUGUAAACAAUAACUAAUAGAUUUUACGCUUGGGCCUUUUGAUAAAAAAAUAUAUUUAAAAAAUGUUUCGGAGCCUCUGCAGCUGCUCAAAUAACCACCAAUGCAAACAUGAAUACAAUUCAAUCUAGCAAGACGAAUUGGGUCUCAACAAGGACCGCUACAAGAGUCUUGCCGACGAAAUGGACUCAACAUUCGCCGAAUUGGCUGGUUACUAAACAAUACCAAAAUCUCGUUUUGCUGCCAUUUUUUACCAUCCAAUGGCGAUGACUAUGACGUUUUCGAUAAAUAUCCUUCAUUCUUUUUCUGCCUACGAAUGAUCAAAAACAUCCAAGAAAAAGAACAUGUCAUCGUUUCAACAUUCACAAACACACUCACUUUAAAAUUGUCACAUUUUAAAUUUCAAAUUUUUUUGUAUUGCUUUGUAAUUUAUUGUAAAAUUUAUAACCGGAUUUUCAAUUAUACAUGUAUUUCAAAAACAAA